GGGGCGACUGGCUGCACCGGGGCCGAGAGCCCUUUUCGGCUUCGAAGAAGCUGAUUACCCUAGUCCUUUGACACUCCCAUCUAUCCCUCUCCUUUGCCUCUGCAUAGUCUUGCUCGAUAGAACAUGUAACCGAAGCCGAAACCGUUCGGUAAGCAGAAUUCCCGUUUCACAGCACCUAAAUGCAAGCACGCUGCGCGAACCUCCUAUUCGUGUAGGUCAUGGAGGUAAGCUGCCCUCCCUGUUGCUGUUGACCGACGCAGGUUUGGGACAGUGCAGCCGGUGGCUCGGGGUGUAUCUUGCUUAUGGGAUGCAGCUGGCUGCUGCUUCACAAGAUAUACUUGCGUUUGGCCCGCGAAAAUAGCAUCAGCUGGUCUCGAUCGGAG
This 383-nucleotide long non-coding RNA is filed under the name Volvox carteri. Its description in RNAcentral is "long non-coding RNA (VCAR_LNC000285)". Lineage: Eukaryota; Viridiplantae; Chlorophyta; Chlorophyceae; Chlamydomonadales; Volvocaceae. The record is from RNAcentral.